RNAcentral lists this long non-coding RNA (396 nucleotides) under Rattus norvegicus (Norway rat). RNAcentral's name for it is "long non-coding RNA NONRATT001075". Lineage: Eukaryota; Metazoa; Chordata; Mammalia; Rodentia; Muridae. The record is from RNAcentral.
AAACACCAUUCCUCAACAUGAAGGAGACCACAGUGUGCAAUUCCACCGUCCUCAGGCUGUCAGUGGUUGGCAUAAGCAUAAAACAGACUACUUUGUCAUUGACUGUUGUACCAGUUCAGUAGCAAGUAAUCAUUCAUUUAUUUUACACGACCUCCAGAAAUUCCCAUACAAGAAAUACAGAGAAGCAGGAGGUGAUUUUGCCAUGUGGAGCAUCACCCCAGACUCAUCUACCCAACCAUAUUGGAAAUGGUUUGUCUGUCACUUCAAAUCAGAGCUAGAAAAUAAAUAUGGCAAAAAAUUUAUAAAUCUAGGCAGUAUUCCAGAUUUAUGGACCAAAAUUACAAAGCAAGACGUACUGGAUGACUUGAGAAACAAUACUUGCCACAAAUAUGACAC